GGUUGCAUAGCUCAGUUGGAUAGAGCGUUGGUCUACGAAACCAAAGGUCGAACGUUCGAGUCGUUCUGCGACCACCA
This 77-nucleotide transfer RNA is filed under the name Verrucomicrobiaceae bacterium. Its description in RNAcentral is "tRNA-Arg". It matches the Rfam family "tRNA". From Rfam's summary of the family: Transfer RNA (tRNA) molecules are approximately 80 nucleotides in length. Their secondary structure includes four short double-helical elements and three loops (D, anti-codon, and T loops). The record is from RNAcentral. Lineage: Bacteria; Pseudomonadati; Verrucomicrobiota; Verrucomicrobiia; Verrucomicrobiales; Verrucomicrobiaceae.